GAGUUUGAUCGUGGCUCAGGAUGAACGCUGGCGGCGUGCUUAACACAUGCAAGUCGAACGAAGCGCCUUAUUUGAUUUUCUUCGGAACUGAAGAUUUGGUGACUGAGUGGCGGACGGGUGAGUAACGCGUGGGUAACCUGCCCUGUACAGGGCGAUAACAAUCAGAAAUGACUGCUAAUACCGCAUAAGACCACAGCACCGCAUGGUGCAGGGGUAAAAACUCCGGUGGUACAGGAUGGACCCGCGUCUGAUUAGCUGGUUGGUGAGGUAACGGCUCACCAAGGCGACGAUCAGUAGCCGGCUUGAGAGAGUGAACGGCCACAUUGGGACUGAGACACGGCCCAAACUCCUACGGGAGGCAGCAGUGGGGAAUAUUGCACAAUGGGGGAAACCCUGAUGCAGCAACGCCGCGUGAGUGAAGAAGUAUUUCGGUAUGUAAAGCUCUAUCAGCAGGGAAGAAAGUGACGGUACCUGACUAAGAAGCCCCGGCUAACUACGUGCCAGCAGCCGCAACG
Molecule: ribosomal RNA, 515 nt
Filed under: uncultured microorganism
Description: bacterial SSU rRNA
Rfam family: Bacterial small subunit ribosomal RNA
Source: RNAcentral